Molecule: ribosomal RNA, 446 nt
Filed under: uncultured bacterium
Lineage: Bacteria
Description: bacterial SSU rRNA
Rfam family: Bacterial small subunit ribosomal RNA
Source: RNAcentral
CCCAGACUCCUACGGGAGGCAGCAGUGGGGAAUAUUGCACAAUGGGGGAAACCCUGAUGCAGCGACGCCGCGUGAGCGAGGAAGUAUUUCGGUAUGUAAAGCUCUGUCAGCAGGGAAGAAGAAUGACGGUACCUGGAGAAGAAGCACCGGCUAAAUACGUGCCAGCAGCCGCGGUAAUACGUAUGGUGCAAGCGUUAUCCGGAUUUACUGGGUGUAAAGGGAGCGCAGGCGGUUCUGCAAGUCUGAUGUGAAAGCCCGGGGCUCAACCGCGGGACUGCAUUGGAAACUGCGGGACUGGAGUGUCGGAGGGGUAAGCGGAAUUCCUGGUGUAGCGGUGAAAUGCGUAGAUAUCAGGAGGAACACCGGUGGCGAAGGCGGCUUACUGGACGAUGACUGACGCUGAGGCUCGAAAGCGUGGGGAGCAAACAGGAUUAGAUACCCCUGUA